UACGUAGGGGGCAAGCGUUGUCCGGAAUCAUUGGGCGUAAAGCGCGCGUAGGCGGCUAGAUCAGUCUGCUGUAAAAGUCAAAGGCUCAACCGUUGAAAGCCGGUGGAUACUGUCUAGCUAGAGUCCGGAAGAGGCGAGUGGAAUUCCUGGUGUAGCGGUGGAAUGCGCAGAUAUCAGGAGGAACACCGAUGGCGAAGGCAGGUCUCUGGGCCACUACUGACGCUGAGAAGCGAAAGCAUGGGGAGCGAACAGG
This 253-nucleotide ribosomal RNA is filed under the name uncultured bacterium. Its description in RNAcentral is "partial 16S ribosomal RNA". It matches the Rfam family "Bacterial small subunit ribosomal RNA", at positions 524 to 776 of the family's 1533-position model. The record is from RNAcentral.